CUUUUCAUUCCCGUUGUUAUGGAGGGCCACAUCUGCCAGAGCCUGGAGUCUGCGAAGGCCGGGACCCGGUUCCCCGGCCCACAGUGGGGGUGUGCAAACCCGAGAGAACUGGAUUGCGUACCCACUGCAGAGUGCUGAAGACGGGGUAGCCACGAGGUUGCAAAUUCGUGAAGAAUCAGCAUCAUGUUUGGCAGCUGAGUAUUGGAGCCAGGAGCCUGCCAUGAGGUUAUAUUCCCAGAGGAUGUCAGUCCCAAGGACCAGUAGCUGCCAUCAGUUUGGAUUCUGAAAACUAACUGGCAUCAACACUGGGUGUAGAAACAUGCUUGCCUUAUGUAUCAGAGGACAUGCUCAGCAGAUCCAAGAGAUAUAUUUGGCAACUUUUUCUAGAAAAGGCACAUUGGGUAUCAUUCAUUACAUUCUUGAGUUUUUUUGGGUUUUUUUUUUUUUUUUUGAGACAGUCUUGCUGUAUUGCCCAGGCUGGAGUGUGGUGGCACAAUCACAGCUCAUUGCAUCCUCAAUCACCCAGGCCUAAGCAAUCCUCCCACCUUGUAGCUGGGACUACAGCUCACAGCACACCUGGCUAAAAUUUUUUUUUUGUUGAGACGGAUUCUCUAUGUUGCCCAGGCUGGUCUCAGGCUCCUGGGCUCAGAUGGUCCUCCUGCCUCAGCUUCCAAAGGCACAGGCCAAGUUGUAGCUUUGUCCCUUGCCAUCAUGCCCAACAAGAGGUUCUAUACCUUUUAAUGAAUUGACUUUCAUAAAUUGGUUAUGUUGGUGGGCAAAGUUCUUUAAGCUGGAAAUUGUAAAUUCCUCCUGAAAUGUUUUUUCAUGCAGUUACCAUGAACUAAUACUACAAUAAAGGAUGGUCUUGGGUGUCAA
RNAcentral lists this long non-coding RNA (876 nucleotides) under Homo sapiens (human). RNAcentral's name for it is "HSALNT0388745". Lineage: Eukaryota; Metazoa; Chordata; Mammalia; Primates; Hominidae. The record is from RNAcentral.